UACGUAGGGUGCGAGCGUUAAUCGGAAUUACUGGGCGUAAAGCGUGCGCAGGCGGUUUUGUAAGUCUGACGUGAAAGCCCCGGGCUUAACCUGGGAAUUGCGUUGGAGACUGCAAGGCUUGAAUCUGGCAGAGGGGGGUAGAAUUCCACGUGUAGCAGUGAAAUGCGUAAAGAUGUGGAGGAACACCGAUGGCGAAGGCAGCCCCUGGGUCAAGAUUGACGCUCAUGCACGAAAGGCGUGGGG
This 243-nucleotide ribosomal RNA is filed under the name uncultured bacterium. Its description in RNAcentral is "partial 16S ribosomal RNA". It matches the Rfam family "Bacterial small subunit ribosomal RNA", at positions 524 to 766 of the family's 1533-position model. The record is from RNAcentral.